AUGUGCCACGCGUACACUGCAGUUCUGAGUGCGCGCCAGAACCCACCUCACCACCGCUUGCGAUGUCGUGUCAGCU
Molecule: small RNA, 76 nt
Filed under: Xanthomonas arboricola
Lineage: Bacteria; Pseudomonadati; Pseudomonadota; Gammaproteobacteria; Lysobacterales; Lysobacteraceae
Also listed under: 1 other name
Description: sRNA sX9
Rfam family: Xanthomonas sRNA sX9
Source: RNAcentral